AGUGAACGCUGGCGGUAGGCCUAACACACGCAAGUCGAACGGCAGCACAGUAAGAGCUUGCUCUUACGGGUGGCGAGUGGCGGACGGGUGAGGAAUACAUCGGAAUCUACUUUUUCGUGGGGGAUAACGUAGGGAAACUUACGCUAAUACCGCAUACGACCUACGGGUGAAAGCAGGGGAUCUUCGGACCUUGCGCGAUUGAAUGAGCCGAUGUCGGAUUAGCUAGUUGGCGGGGUAAAGGCCCACCAAGGCGACGAUCCGUAGCUGGUCUGAGAGGAUGAUCAGCCACACUGGAACUGAGACACGGUCCAGACUCCUACGGGAGGCAGCAGUGGGGAAUAUUGGACAAUGGGCGCAAGCCUGAUCCAGCCAUACCGCGUGGGUGAUGAAGGCCUUCGGGUUGUAAAGCCCUUUUGUUGGGAAAGAAAAGCAGCAGGUUAAUACCCCGCUGUUCUGACGGUACCCAAAGAAUAAGCACCGGCUAACUUCGUG
Molecule: ribosomal RNA, 492 nt
Filed under: uncultured bacterium
Lineage: Bacteria
Description: partial 16S ribosomal RNA
Rfam family: Bacterial small subunit ribosomal RNA
Source: RNAcentral